UUGAAGGGUUAAGGUCCUUGGACUCUGAAUCAUGUACUUCUUUAUAUAAAUGAUAUCAGCUUUGAUGAAAGAAAUACUCUUGGUCAUGGUUAUGGGAAUGGGAGCCAUGGGAGAGUGAAGAGUGAUUUAAGAAAAUUUGGGCAGGGUAAGAAGAGAGGAAAGAUUAUAUCAGUACAGUUCAGCUGUGCCUCCCACCCAGGU
Molecule: long non-coding RNA, 201 nt
Filed under: Homo sapiens (human)
Lineage: Eukaryota; Metazoa; Chordata; Mammalia; Primates; Hominidae
Description: HSALNT0219816
Source: RNAcentral